Diceros bicornis minor is the source of this 888-nucleotide long non-coding RNA. RefSeq lists it as uncharacterized. Lineage: Eukaryota; Metazoa; Chordata; Mammalia; Perissodactyla; Rhinocerotidae. The record is from RefSeq and is a predicted model, not a curated record. The transcript is spliced from 2 exons.
GAUUCUUUUCCUCCAGGUGGCCUCAGUGGUGGUGGGGGGAGCUGGGCCUCCCCAGAGGGCCACGUGGAUGUGGGCAGCUGCCCCCAGGGGAGCGCAGGGGCUGGGGAGAGGGGCAAGAUCAUUUCUACCCCCCUCAGUUGCCCUUUUGGCCAAAUGCAGCUGCCCCAUUAGGCACCCGCAGACUCCUGAGGGGAGAGCAAGUGGGUGCCAGUAAGCCCUUAGGUCCACACCAGGAGGUCAGGGGUUGGACCCCUGAUGAAUUCUUAGCCAAACCGGGUCACUGGGAACAGCUGUCCACACAAACUGGUCUGGAAGAGGCCCCUGAGUUUCUUUCCUACUUCUCCCAGCCUGCUAACAUCACACAGGCUGGGCCUCUUCCCCCAGGGCCUCCCAGGACUGGGCAGGACAGGGGCAGAAGAGUAAGGUCAUGGAGUCAAGCUGGGCCUAAGGGACUGGAACUCAAAUGUCUUCAGGGGCCAGGCAGCUGCGGUGCCAGAGGCGCCUUUGGGCCUCCCUCCAGGGCUCGCCUUCCUCAGGCCUCCUCUCCAUGGAGAAACUGCAGCCUGGAGUCUGACCACAUCUGGAGGGGUCUGCUGAGCUGGGGGGCCCACAGCCUGGCCCUGCCUCCCCUGUGCUGAGAUGCUGCGGAGCUGGCACUGGCAAUGCCCCAGCCUCUAGUGCCUCGGUUUCCUCAUCUGGACAGGCCGAAUGGGAAGUGACAGCAUGGGCUCCGGAGUCAGACGGACUUGGGUUCAAACAGUGGGCCCUCCACUCACUCUGUGGCUGUGUGAGCUCAGUGUCUCGACUAGAAAAUGGAGACAAUGCUUCUAUCUUAAUGCUCUGUUGCUGCGUAAUAAACUACCGCACGCUUAGUGGCUUCAGGCAGCA